UUAUGGGUCAGGGCAGCUCUUCCCAGAAUUUGAGAAGCGUCCACUCCUAGAAAAGUAGCAGAGAAUGCCUUUCCCAGGAGAAAAGAAGAAAAAAGCAAAGCCAGGCACACAUGAUUUAUUUCUCUUUAAUCUGCCUGCAGAUUAAGCAGUUUUUAAAAAUGAAUUCCAUGGUGGAACAGAAAGCCUGGGAAUGUCAGACUCCACACAGAAGGAAAAUGAAGAUGAGGGAGUUUCUCCCUUUAACAGUUGUGUCCCGGGAGUUGAACUUGCUUUGGGCAUGGGGUCCAUGCGAAAAAGAUUUUAGUUUUAAUUUUAUAUCCUUUUGUCUCUUUAGAACUGUAUGACUCUAACAGUUCCCUUGGAACUUUGGAAGAGAAUGAAUAGCAGUUUUUAUCCCUUUAGGCCUACGACUGGAACAAGAACUGGCAUGACCUGCUACACUUUCAUUCUGGCAACAUGGGAAGAUCAGGACACGGAGGCAGCCAGGACAGCACAACUAGAGACAGAAAGAAGACUUCCAGAACUGCUUCAGAAAGUGUCAAGGACUACCUGAACGAGGUGAAUGAGUUCAAAAUGGGGGAGGGGUUCUUUGGGGGGAAUCAAUGGCAAUGUGUCUUUUACUGUGAUAAAUUCUUAAAAAUUUACAUCGCAUUUAUUUUUAUCACAUUGCUUAGGUUUACACUUAAGUUUAUUGCCAGAGAGGACUAAGAUUUCCUUACAGUCAAUUAUAAACACAUUCGGUGCUUAGAGGCCACACAAGGAUGGAAAGUAUUUCCCGUCUCCCUCUCCACUCUAUUGUCUGAGCAGAGGUCCCUGUUCAGGAGACUCCCCACAUCCCCUCAGCUUUGCCUUCUUUGCCCCUUUGCCCCUGUGCUCCUGGCUCCAUUUGGUGCUGGAGUCCUGCUUACCUUGAUCUUUUG
RNAcentral lists this long non-coding RNA (920 nucleotides) under Chinchilla lanigera (long-tailed chinchilla). Its description in RNAcentral is "lncRNA (ENSCLAG00000023700.1)". The record is from RNAcentral. Lineage: Eukaryota; Metazoa; Chordata; Mammalia; Rodentia; Chinchillidae.